This 452-nucleotide ribosomal RNA is filed under the name uncultured bacterium. Its description in RNAcentral is "bacterial SSU rRNA". It matches the Rfam family "Bacterial small subunit ribosomal RNA", at positions 29 to 524 of the family's 1533-position model. The record is from RNAcentral.
AACGAACGCUGGCGGCAUGCCUAACACAUGCAAGUCGAACGAGACCUUCGGGUCUAGUGGCGCACGGGUGCGUAACGCGUGGGAAUCUGCCCUUUGCUUCGGAAUAACAGUUAGAAAUGACUGCUAAUACCGGAUGAUGUCUUCGGACCAAAGAUUUAUCGGCAAAGGAUGAGCCCGCGUAGGAUUAGGUAGUUGGUGGGGUAAAGGCCUACCAAGCCGACGAUCCUUAGCUGGUCUGAGAGGAUGAUCAGCCACACUGGGACUGAGACACGGCCCAGACUCCUACGGGAGGCAGCAGUGGGGAAUAUUGGACAAUGGGGGCAACCCUGAUCCAGCCAUGCCGCGUGAGUGAUGAAGGCCUCGGGUUGUAAAGCUCUUUUGGUCGGGGACGGAUGAUGACGGUACCCGCCAGAAUAAGCCCCGGCUAACUUCGUGCCAGCAGCCGCGGUAAU